ACGAACGCUGGCGGCGUGCCUAAUACAUGCAAGUCGCACGCUUCUUUCCUCCCGAGUGCUUGCACUCAAUUGGAAAGAGGCGUGGCGGACGGGUGAGUAACACGUGGGUAACCUACCCAUCAGAGGGGGAUAACACUUGGAAACAGGUGCUAAUACCGCAUAACAGUUUAUGCCGCAUGGCAUAAGAGUGAAAGGCGCUUUCGGGUGUCGCUGAUGGAUGGACCCGCGGUGCAUUAGCUAGUUGGUGAGGUAACGGCUCACCAAGGCCACGAUGCAUAGCCGACCUGAGAGGGUGAUCGGCCACACUGGGACUGAGACACGGCCCAGACUCCUACGGGAGGCAGCAGUAGGGAAUCUUCGGCAAUGGACGAAAGUCUGACCGAGCAACGCCGCGUGAGUGAAGAAGGUUUUCGGAUCGUAAAACUCUGUUGUUAGAGAAGAACAAGGACGUUAGUAACUGAACGUCCCCUGACGGUAUCUAACCAGAAAGCCACGGCUAACUACGUG
Molecule: ribosomal RNA, 507 nt
Filed under: uncultured bacterium
Lineage: Bacteria
Description: partial 16S ribosomal RNA
Rfam family: Bacterial small subunit ribosomal RNA
Source: RNAcentral